This 718-nucleotide ribosomal RNA is filed under the name Microbacterium phyllosphaerae. RNAcentral describes it as "bacterial SSU rRNA". It matches the Rfam family "Bacterial small subunit ribosomal RNA", at positions 64 to 794 of the family's 1533-position model. The record is from RNAcentral. Lineage: Bacteria; Bacillati; Actinomycetota; Actinomycetes; Micrococcales; Microbacteriaceae.
GAACGGUGAAGCCCAGCUUGCUGGGUGGAUCAGUGGCGAACGGGUGAGUAACACGUGAGCAACCUGCCCCUGACUCUGGGAUAAGCGCUGGAAACGGCGUCUAAUACUGGAUACGAACCACAGUCGCAUGGCUCGUGGUUGGAAAGAUUUUUUGGUUGGGGAUGGGCUCGCGGCCUAUCAGCUUGUUGGUGAGGUAAUGGCUCACCAAGGCGUCGACGGGUAGCCGGCCUGAGAGGGUGACCGGCCACACUGGGACUGAGACACGGCCCAGACUCCUACGGGAGGCAGCAGUGGGGAAUAUUGCACAAUGGGCGCAAGCCUGAUGCAGCAACGCCGCGUGAGGGAUGACGGCCUUCGGGUUGUAAACCUCUUUUAGCAAGGAAGAAGCGAAAGUGACGGUACUUGCAGAAAAAGCGCCGGCUAACUACGUGCCAGCAGCCGCGGUAAUACGUAGGGCGCAAGCGUUAUCCGGAAUUAUUGGGCGUAAAGAGCUCGUAGGCGGUUUGUCGCGUCUGCUGUGAAAUCCCGAGGCUCAACCUCGGGCCUGCAGUGGGUACGGGCAGACUAGAGUGCGGUAGGGGAGAUUGGAAUUCCUGGUGUAGCGGUGGAAUGCGCAGAUAUCAGGAGGAACACCGAUGGCGAAGGCAGAUCUCUGGGCCGUAACUGACGCUGAGGAGCGAAAGGGUGGGGAGCAAACAGGCUUAGAUACCCUGGUAGU